RNAcentral lists this ribosomal RNA (307 nucleotides) under uncultured bacterium. RNAcentral's name for it is "partial 16S ribosomal RNA". It matches the Rfam family "Bacterial small subunit ribosomal RNA", at positions 506 to 807 of the family's 1533-position model. The record is from RNAcentral.
AGACAGCAGUAGCCGCGGUAACACAGAGGGUGCGAGCGUUAAUCGGAUUUACUGGGCGUAAAGCGUGCGUAGGCGGCUUCUUAAGUCGGAUGUGAAAUCCCUGAGCUUAACUUAGGAAUUGCAUUCGAUACUGGGAAGCUAGAGUAUGGGAGAGGAUGGUAGAAUUCCAGGUGUAGCGGUGAAAUGCGUAGAGAUCUGGAGGAAUACCGAUGGCGAAGGCAGCCAUCUGGCCUAAUACUGACGCUGAGGUACGAAAGCAUGGGGAGCAAACAGGAUUAGAUACCCCCGUAGUCCCUGUCUCUUAUAC